UUCUAUACUCACAUACUAGAUCACAUUUGGCCUUUGGCAAUUCAGUAAACAUUUUAGCAAUUUCUUCUUUCCUGCCUGCUGAAGACUGACUUCCUCCUGCUGCCAAAGUUCUAGAGUCUGGACGUCUGAGAUCAGGGUGCCAGCACUGUCGAGGUCACAGACUGCAGACCUCCUUGUAUCUUCAAAUGGAGGAAAGAGGACAAGAGAGCUCCUGUGGUCCCUUUUAUCAAGAUGAAUGCACAAGGAAAAUGUUGUACAUUUGCACAUUGGAGUACACUUCAGCCAUAAAAAGAAUGAGAUGCUGUCAUUUGCAACAACAGAGUUGUGCAGUCAUCAGUUAUCUUCAUGGGACGAGUAUGUCCGGAGGGGAGGAAAAUCUGAUAAAAAAUAUUGAAAUUCAAUGAAGGCUUCCACUGCUUAACAAAUGUUACAUAGAAUUCUUCACCGAUGUGAGGAACAUCAGUUUGCAAAAGAAACUCUGCACUUUCAGGGAUAAAAAGACUGAGACUCCAAAUGGUGCUCCUAGUAUUGGUGAAGCUUAGGGAGAGAGCCCAUUGUGUUUCUAUCUAACUGCUCUCAGGAAAAGGUAGAAAAUGUCUCAGAUUCCACAAGAAAGAUAGAAUGUGUGAUAAGAUGACAAUCAGGCCACAACAGAAUAUCCUAGUAGGGUACAUAAAUUAGCAUCAACAUGGACCAAUUAGCAAGGAAGUGUCUUCAUAAUAUUCCCGUAAUUAGACUCUCAUUAGCUUGAUAUUUGAUGCUGGACUAACCCUAUUUGAAUGAUAUAAGCACUGGUACUUAGAAUUUUCAGAGACUGGUGCCCCUAAUGGAAAAAUGCAGGAUGAAAUGCUAGUGAAGAUUAACUGGGAGAAAAAUAGGUAAAUGUGAAAAAGAAAACGUGUGUCUGACUGUAUACAGAGUUCUAAUUGUAAAAAAUUAAUCGAAUGUAUAAAAUAUCGACAG
This 963-nucleotide long non-coding RNA is filed under the name Homo sapiens (human). RNAcentral describes it as "HSALNT0142026". Lineage: Eukaryota; Metazoa; Chordata; Mammalia; Primates; Hominidae. The record is from RNAcentral.